RNAcentral lists this ribosomal RNA (1182 nucleotides) under Enterococcus casseliflavus. RNAcentral's name for it is "bacterial SSU rRNA". It matches the Rfam family "Bacterial small subunit ribosomal RNA", at positions 29 to 1181 of the family's 1533-position model. The record is from RNAcentral. Lineage: Bacteria; Bacillati; Bacillota; Bacilli; Lactobacillales; Enterococcaceae.
GGGAAAGUGCGGCGUGCUAUACAUGCAGUCGAACGCUUUUUCUUUCCCGGAGCUUGCUCCACCGAAAGAAAAAGAGUGGCGAACGGGUGAGUAACACGUGGGUAACCUGCCCAUCAGAAGGGGAUAACACUUGGAAACAGGUGCUAAUACCGUAUAACACUAUUUUCCGCAUGGAAGAAAGUUGAAAGGCGCUUUUGCGUCACUGAUGGAUGGACCCGCGGUGCAUUAGCUAGUUGGUGAGGUAACGGCUCACCAAGGCAACGAUGCAUAGCCGACCUGAGAGGGUGAUCGGCCACACUGGGACUGAGACACGGCCCAGACUCCUACGGGAGGCAGCAGUAGGGAAUCUUCGGCAAUGGACGAAAGUCUGACCGAGCAACGCCGCGUGAGUGAAGAAGGUUUUCGGAUCGUAAAACUCUGUUGUUAGAGAAGAACAAGGAUGAGAGUAGAACGUUCAUCCCUUGACGGUAUCUAACCAGAAAGCCACGGCUAACUACGUGCCAGCAGCCGCGGUAAUACGUAGGUGGCAAGCGUUGUCCGGAUUUAUUGGGCGUAAAGCGAGCGCAGGCGGUUUCUUAAGUCUGAUGUGAAAGCCCCCGGCUCAACCGGGGAGGGUCAUUGGAAACUGGGAGACUUGAGUGCAGAAGAGGAGAGUGGAAUUCCAUGUGUAGCGGUGAAAUGCGUAGAUAUAUGGAGGAACACCAGUGGCGAAGGCGGCUCUCUGGUCUGUAACUGACGCUGAGGCUCGAAAGCGUGGGGAGCGAACAGGAUUAGAUACCCUGGUAGUCCACGCCGUAAACGAUGAGUGCUAAGUGUUGGAGGGUUUCCGCCCUUCAGUGCUGCAGCAAACGCAUUAAGCACUCCGCCUGGGGAGUACGACCGCAAGGUUGAAACUCAAAGGAAUUGACGGGGGCCCGCACAAGCGGUGGAGCAUGUGGUUUAAUUCGAAGCAACGCGAAGAACCUUACCAGGUCUUGACAUCCUUUGACCACUCUAGAGAUAGAGCUUCCCCUUCGGGGGCAAAGUGACAGGUGGGUGCAUGGUUGUCGUCAGCUCGUGUCGUGGAAAUGUUGGGGUUAAGUCCCGCAACGAGCGCAACCCUUAAUUGUUAGUUGCCAUCAUUCAGUUUGGGCACUCUAACCGAGACUGCCGGUGACAAACCGGAAGGAAAGGUGGGGGAUA